AGGGAUGUACCAUUGAAAGACAUAAAAAAAAAGAUUUACAUGAAAAAUUAACAUGCAAGCAAAACCGAAAGAAACCAGAAAAUAAAACGAAAGUAUAUCAAAAGUGAAAGUAGGGAUACCAGCAAAGUCAACGAUAGCAGGUCAGACACUCCAUCCAGCAGUAAACGAAAAAAGGUAAAGACAGGCGAUAAAGAAAGGGGAGAUUAUCUACCUAAAAGGAUACAGAAAAAUGAUGUCAAAUUUGACAAUACUAAGAUUCAAACUCUGUUGACGUCGAAUAACAAUAAGCCAUACCAUUAUGCUGCUAUCGCUGGUAGUGAUCAUAUCAUUCUAAGUAUAGUCAUUCGAACACCACCAAAGAUUAUAAGUCCACCACCCGCACCACCUCCACCACCUAGUGACACGUGACAAUUAAAUAUAGACCCUACCUGCUUACAUUACCAGAAUUUAGAUCAUGUACGCAGUUGUACGCAGUUGUAUUGAGAUUUGUUCUAUUUGUUAACUACGUGAGCUAGCAGCUUCUAUACAAUUAUAUUUAUUUACCUGAUCUUUCUACUUUGUCGGCGAACGUUAGAAUUCUACAAAAAGAUUUACCAUCUUACUAAUAGCAGAUCACUAAGUAUAGCUUUCCGUAGACAACAAGAAUAAACUGGAUUACAAAACUAGACACAGCAUUUACAUAAGGUAGCAAUCAAAUGCACGUAGUCUUGGAUAUUUCAAGGCUACAGUGUAGCAAUCUGAAUGUGAUUGGCCUUUUACAUAGUACUGUAAUGUGUUUAUCUGAACAAAAGGGUUCUUUAAAAGGGAUAUAAACAUAGACAUGACUUACAAUAAGCCUAUUAUAUACGACCUCACCUUUCAUUCAUUACUACUGAGUAUCUUAUGUA
Molecule: long non-coding RNA, 887 nt
Organism: Saccostrea cuccullata (small rock oyster)
Lineage: Eukaryota; Metazoa; Mollusca; Bivalvia; Ostreida; Ostreidae
Exons: 2
Source: RefSeq, a predicted model, not a curated record